AACGCUGGCGGCGUGCUUAACACAUGCAAGUCGAACGAGAGGAGAAGGAAGCUUGCUUCUUUCAAAUCUAGUGGCAAACGGGUGAGUAACACGUAAACAACCUGCCUUCAGGAUGGGGGACAACAGACGGAAACGACUGCUAAUACCGAAUACGUUCCUUAGGUCGCAUGACUUUAGGAAGAAAGGGUGGCCUCUACUUGUAAGCUAUCGCCUGAAGAGGGGUUUGCGUCUGAUUAGGUAGUUGGUGAGGUAACGGCCCACCAAGCCGACGAUCAGUAGCCGGUCUGAGAGGAUGAACGGCCACAUUGGAACUGAGACACGGUCCAGACUCCUACGGGAGGCAGCAGUGGGGAAUCUUCCGCAAUGGACGAAAGUCUGACGGAGCAACGCCGCGUGAACGAUGACGGCCUUCGGGUUGUAAAGUUCUGUUAUACGGGACGAAUGGCGUAGCGGUCAAUACCCGUUACGAGUGACGGUACCGUAAGAGAAAGCCACGGCUAACUACGUG
Molecule: ribosomal RNA, 508 nt
Filed under: uncultured bacterium
Lineage: Bacteria
Description: bacterial SSU rRNA
Rfam family: Bacterial small subunit ribosomal RNA
Source: RNAcentral